AUAUGCGUUUUGCCGAGUUCCGCAUGAGCGGAAACGGGGGACCCAUUACAAUCGGGGCGUAUCGCCGCAAGGCGUAGGGCAGUCUCUUCCGCCCGAGCCCGUCAGCUAACCUCGUAGGCAUGGAAGAGGAGAACC
Molecule: small RNA, 135 nt
Filed under: Lentisphaerota bacterium
Lineage: Bacteria; Pseudomonadati; Lentisphaerota
Description: Lentisphaerae bacterium c-di-AMP sequence
Rfam family: c-di-AMP riboswitch aptamer (ydaO/yuaA leader)
About the family: This family represents a conserved RNA structure found upstream of the ydaO and yuaA genes in Bacillus subtilis and related genes in other bacteria. The ydaO/yuaA element is thought to act as a genetic "off" switch for the ydaO and yuaA genes in its native state. It is believed that the element may be triggered during osmotic shock leading to activation of ydaO, a predicted amino acid transporter gene, and members of the yuaA-yubG operon which code for KtrA and KtrB K+ transporters.
Source: RNAcentral